RNAcentral lists this ribosomal RNA (253 nucleotides) under uncultured bacterium. RNAcentral describes it as "partial 16S ribosomal RNA". It matches the Rfam family "Bacterial small subunit ribosomal RNA", at positions 524 to 776 of the family's 1533-position model. The record is from RNAcentral.
GACGUAGGGGGCAAGCGUUGUCCGGAAUCAUUGGGCGUAAAGAGCGUGUAGGUGGCUCGGUAAGUCCGCUGUGAAAGUCCAGGGCUCAACCCUGGAAAGCCGGUGGAAACUGUCGAGCUCGAGUCCGGAAGAGGCGAGUGGAAUCCCUGGUGUAGCGGUGAAAUGCGCAGAUAUCAGGAGGAACACCAAUGGCGAAGGCAGCUCGCUGGGACGGUACUGACACUGAGACGCGAAAGCGUGGGGAGCAAACAGG